RNAcentral lists this ribosomal RNA (396 nucleotides) under uncultured bacterium. RNAcentral describes it as "partial 16S ribosomal RNA". It matches the Rfam family "Bacterial small subunit ribosomal RNA", at positions 523 to 918 of the family's 1533-position model. The record is from RNAcentral.
AUACGUAGGGGGCGAGCGUUGUCCGGAAUUACUGGGCGUAAAGGGUGCGUAGGUGGCACUUUAAGUUGGAUGUGAAAUCCCCGUGCUUAACAUGGGAGCUGCAUCCAAUACUGGAGAGCUAGAGUGCAGGAGAGGUAAGCGGAAUUCCUAGUGUAGCGGUGAAAUGCGUAGAUAUUAGGAGGAACACCAGUGGCGAAGGCGGCUUACUGGACUGUAACUGUCACUGAGGCACGAAAGCGUGGGGAGCAAACAGGAUUAGAUACCCUGGUAGUCCACGCUGUAAACGAUGAAUACUAGGUGUAGGGGGUAUCAACUCCCUCUGUGCCGCAGCAAACGCAAUAAGUAUUCCGCCUGGGAGUACGGCCGCAAGGUUGAAACUCAAAUGAAUUGACGGGG